Molecule: ribosomal RNA, 1218 nt
Filed under: Triticum aestivum (bread wheat)
Lineage: Eukaryota; Viridiplantae; Streptophyta; Magnoliopsida; Poales; Poaceae
Description: partial small subunit ribosomal RNA
Source: RNAcentral
AUGGAGAGCCCUGAUUCCGAGUUAUGGCUUGAGGCCAUGAGAUCUGAAUUAAAGUCCAUGGAUGACAAUCAAGUUUGGAACUUGGUUGAUCUGCCAGAUGGCGUUCGAGCCAUUGAGUGCAAGUGGAUCUUUAAGAAGAAAACUGAUAUGGACGGAAAUGUCAUAGUCCAUAAGUCUCGGCUUGUUGCUAAAGGAUAUCGACAAGUUCAAGGAGUUGACUACGAUGAGACUUACUCACCGGUAGCGAUGCCUAAAUCAAUUCGGAUCAUUCUUGCUAUAGCGGCAUAUUUCGACUAUGAAAUAUGGCAGAUGGAUGUCAAAAUGGCUUUCCUUAAUGGAAAUUUAACCGAGGAUGUGUAUAUGACACAACCCGAGGGUUUUGUCGAUCCAAAGAAGUCUAGCAUGGACAUAUUAUUGAUUGGAAAUGGUGUUCAAAUGCUUGAAUCAGUCAAGGACUCAUUGAAAAAUAGUUUUUCUAUGAAGGACUUGGGAGAAGCAGCUUACAUUUUGGGAAUCAAGAUCUAUAGAGAUAGAUCGAGAAGGCUUAUUGGAUUAAGCCAGAGUGCGUAUAUUGACAAGGUGUUGAAGCGGUUCAACAUGCAAGAUGCCAAGAAAGGUUUCUUGCCCAUGUCACAUGGCAUUAGUCUUAGCAAGACUCAGAGUCCUACGACUCCUGAUGAGCGAAGACGCAUGGAUGGGAUUCCGUAUGCUUCGGCUGUUGGGUCCAUCAUGUAUGCUAUGGUAUGUACUCGUCCCGAUGUUAGUUUUGCUCUUAGCGUGGUGGGCAGAUACCAGGCUGAUCCGGGGGAGAGUCACUGGACAACGGUUAAGAAUAUCCUUAAGUACUUGAGAAGGACUAAAGAUAUGUUCCUGGUUUAUGGAGGUGAGGAUGAGCUCAUUGUAAAUAGUUACACCGAUGCUAGUUUCCAAACAGAUAGGGAUGAUAGUCGAUCGCAAUCUGGGUUUGUGUUCAUUCUGAACGGAGGAGCAGUGAGCUGGAGGAGCUCCAAGCAAGAUACAGUAGUUGAUUCUACAACAGAGGCCGAGUACAUUGCGGCUUAUGAAGCUGCAAAAGAAGGUGUUUGGGUGAAGAAUUUUAUUUCUGAUCUUGGUGUGGUUGAGGGCGCGUCUAAUCCAUUGGACCUCUAUUGUGAUAAUAGUGGUGCCAUUGCGCAAGUCAAGGAACCACAGAACCAUCAUAAACCCAACACAUACUGA